AUGUAUAGACGUUCAUGCCACGUCGUACAACCUCUGUUCAUUUCACUGAAAAAACAUGAAGUUAGUACAAGUGUAUUGCAAGUUCUCCAGCAGAACUAUACUCUGUCUUCUAAGAUUAACCACGGUGCGUAUAAGAUAUUGCAUAUAGUUGUUUCUCUUCCUGAAAUAGUAGAUAUUGCAGUGAACCGGUCAUGUAAGUUUGCAGAGGUAUAUUGCAAGAUAUCCAGCAGAACUGUACUGAAUCUUCUAAGUUUAUUGGCAGUGUGCAUUAAUAUUGACUUUCUGGUAAUGAUGGGUAGUGUAGAAACUUGA
This 312-nucleotide ribosomal RNA is filed under the name Triticum aestivum (bread wheat). Its description in RNAcentral is "partial small subunit ribosomal RNA". Lineage: Eukaryota; Viridiplantae; Streptophyta; Magnoliopsida; Poales; Poaceae. The record is from RNAcentral.